AUACAGAGGGUGCAAGCGUUAUUCGGAAUUACUGGGCGUAAAGCGCGCGUAGGCGGAUGAUUAAGUCAGUUGUGAAAGCCCUGGGCUCAACCUAGGAACUGCAUCUGAUACUGGUCGUCUAGAGUUUAAGAGAGGGAAGUGGAAUUCCAGGUGUAGCAGUGAAAUGCGUAGAUAUCUGGAGGAACAUCUGUGGCGAAGGCGACUUCCUGGCUUAAAACUGACGCUGAGGUGCGAAAGCGUGGGUAGCGAACGGGAUUAGAUACCCCAGUAGUCC
This 274-nucleotide ribosomal RNA is filed under the name uncultured bacterium. RNAcentral's name for it is "partial 16S ribosomal RNA". It matches the Rfam family "Bacterial small subunit ribosomal RNA", at positions 523 to 796 of the family's 1533-position model. The record is from RNAcentral.